Long non-coding RNA from Cornus florida, 2045 nucleotides. RefSeq lists it as uncharacterized. Lineage: Eukaryota; Viridiplantae; Streptophyta; Magnoliopsida; Cornales; Cornaceae. The transcript is spliced from 5 exons. The record is from RefSeq and is a predicted model, not a curated record.
ACCACCUCUGCAACAAACCUGGAAAGGUCACAUAGUACCAACGGCAAAGCAACGAUGAGGACGACGACACCAAACACGCGACCUGGAACAAUCACGUAACACCAGGGAUGAAGCAGCGAUGAGGACGACAACACCUCCUCCUCAACACCAUCGCUCACCGCACUAUCAAUGACAACCGCCUCAACAACUCUGAUUCAUCUUCCUCGACUGCUUCUUCAUCAUUCGUCCACGUCCGCCACUAACCCUUUCUCUCCCACAAAGAUUCUUCUUCCCCCAACCACCUCCACUGUUCACGGCCGCCACCCCUGUCUUCGAUCCACCUCUCUCUCUUUUUUUUCUCUCUCCCUGAUCCGCAUCCAACUCCGGUCAUAUUCGAACCUAUUUUUCAUGAUUUGUUGCAAGCUCGUGCCGGAAAGAGAAAAUUCUACUUCUUUCGCAACCAUUCGACUCUUCUUCACAUUCAAAAUUGUUCCAAUUCUAGUAGUUUGAUUCAGGUAUUUUUUUUUUUUUUGGUUAAAUUAGAUUGUUUCUUUAUGGGAGAUGAAUUGAAGAAAUUUGAGCAAGAGGAGAGAUUAAGAAAGCUUGAACAAUGCUCAACACCACCUUGGUUUCUAUCACUAUAAAUAGAAGAAAUUUCACCUAUAGAACGAAAAUUAGGAUUUGUUGAUCACUUGCACUUCUUCGGUUAGUGAAUCUUUAGUGCCUUGCAUAGAAUCAGACCUGUCCAUACAUAGAACGAGAGAGGACGAUUUGCAAUAGAAAGGGUUAGGGUUCCAAUGGGCAGCAAGUCUUGAAUUGGGGAUUUAUGUUUUAUAGCAUAAUAUAUGGGAUAAUUUUACUUACCUCGCCUGAGGUUAGGCGUAAUUACAGGCGGUACCCCUUACGUUUCAAAAAUUACACUAACCACCCUCCAAACUGAUCGGCAUUUUAUUCCGGCCAUUGACCAUGUUAAAUGACUAAAACACCCUUCAAUAUUUUAUUAAUAUCACGUGAAGAAUAUCUUUCUUUUUGAAAUUAUUAGAUUUUCCCUAAUGGUUUUGGAGGGAAAAAAACUGACGGCUAAGUCCCAUCAUUUGCAACCCUUUCAUUUCACUCAUUAUAUCAGGCAACCCAUUCAUUUCCUUUAUUUAUAUCACUAAACCCUUUUAUUUCCUUUACACAUCUCAUACAGCCGGAUCGAGAGAGAAACAGAAGAGAGAGAUGGAGAAGCACAGAGGUGAAGAGUUUGAUGCGUUGCCUUUCAAACCCUAUAUUUCUAACGACUUUGAUCUUCUGUUAUCUUUGCUAGCCGUUACAUAACCCAUAAUCGUUCAACAAACAGGCAUCGGUAUAAUAUUUUCAGAAGCAGGCAUUGCUGGUGAAGGCAGUUAGAGGUGGGAGUGGUGGUAUAAGCAGUUCUUAACCCCAAGGUGCUAUAUGGAGUUUUGGUACAAGUAGUUCUCAGCCCCAACUUGGUAGAGGGACAACUCAAAUGGUAGUUAGAGGUGGGAUUGGUGAUAUAAGCAAUUCUCAACCCCAAGGUGCUACAUGGAGUUUGGGUGCAAGCAGUUCUCAGCCCUAACUUGGUAGAGGCACAACUCAAAUGGCAGUUAGAGGUGGGAGGGGUGCGUCUAUGUCUCAGCCCUAACUUGGUAGUGGUACCUCUUCUGACAUGGCAAUGUGGUAACUGUCAUACUGUUUCAAUCCUUCUGGCCUCCCUUGAAGAAUGUUCUUUUGUGUUCUUAUUUGGAGCAUAUGUGGAUAACCUGUCACUUUUGAUAUUACCAUUUUGUUUUGAUGGCAUGUGGACAAGGGUUUGCUCAUAGUUAUAGUUGCAUUUGGAGUAUGUAUGGAUAACCUGUCACUUUUGGAAAACUUUGCUUGCUACUUGUUGACAAUUUUUGGGAUAUUGUUGGAUAGGUUCUUGGACAUGAUAUAAUUAUAUACUUAUACUCAUGGGUCAUGGGUAUACUUUUGGUUGUUUUGUGUAUGUAAUGAAGUGGAGACAGUUGGAUUAAACUAUAUAUAAGCUUUUGGUUAUUUUUUGCAUGCCACUGUGUUUUGCA